ACUUAACAACUGAGCCACCCAGGCACCCCGUGCACGUGAUUCCUUUGAGCAUCUCAGCUUUACAUUGAGCGUGGGGUCGAGCUCUCCCAGCAGGAAUGCUGCAGGAGGAAGGGGUUCUCCUGUGUGUCGGGCUGGGCUGGGUUGGUCAGUGGUGUCAUGCCCACGACACACUGUCCCUCGGCCAUCUCGAAGCCUUGACCUGGCCACAGUAAUCUUCCUGCAGUGCUCUCAACAGGGAAACCAGCACCCCGCCCCCCUCUGCAGUGUGCCUCGGGCCCAUGCAGCCUGGAAGGUUCCCAUUACCUUGCAUGCCCAGCACCCCCACCCAUACCCUCACGUACUCUGCCUCAUCAUGUGGAUCUUGGGCUAAGCUGAAUGUGUUCCUAGGCUGCCUACUUCGAGCCAUGGUGGGGAUCAGCCCGAGACCCACAGGGAGGUCCCAAAGAAGCUGAGUCUAGAUGAGAGACAUGCUCUUCCUGAUCCAAAGAGGAAGCAACUGGUACAAAGGGGCCCCAGAGCCCUGACGUGGUCCCUUGAGACAGUGUGGCAGGUGUCCAGAACAGUCCAUUUCUGAUUUGCAGUUUGUAGCAGGUAAGUGUGAGGAAAGCAGAAACCACCACUGGCUCACCAAGCUGGACAGAACGUGCAAAGGUCAGAGGGCAAAAUCUCUCUUGGGGUGCAACAUACUCUCCAAGGAUUUGGUCAACAGUGACUCUGAGCAUUACAACACUUAACGGGCUGGGAGAACACUAAAAACUACCAGGCGCUUUUAGUUGGCCCCGUGGUGUCCUGACUGCCCAGCAAGAGCACGGAAACAGAAAUGAAGCUCGUCUGUGGACAAGACUACGCCAGUCCUUCGCUUCAACAGAAACCGGCAAAGCUGCUCAAACACAGCAACGGUAACAGCUCGACUUCUGUAUAAAGACAGCCUAGGAAGAUGGAGCAUUUCUUACUUGACUUUCCCAUCACUCAGGCCUCAUACUAUGUGAUGAGGUGAUUAAAAUAUGUUAAUAAAUCAUUUACUUCUCUGUA
Non-coding RNA from Leptonychotes weddellii (Weddell seal), 1032 nucleotides. NCBI's taxonomy places the organism in Eukaryota, Metazoa, Chordata, Mammalia, Carnivora, Phocidae. The record is from RefSeq and is a predicted model, not a curated record.